GGGGCGGGAGCACGGUGGUUGUGCAGUGGAUUGCAGAUCCAACGGUCCCGUGUUCAAAUCACGGUCGCCCCU
This 72-nucleotide transfer RNA is filed under the name Dacryopinax primogenitus. It matches the Rfam family "tRNA". From Rfam's summary of the family: Transfer RNA (tRNA) molecules are approximately 80 nucleotides in length. Their secondary structure includes four short double-helical elements and three loops (D, anti-codon, and T loops). Further hydrogen bonds mediate the characteristic L-shaped molecular structure. tRNAs have two regions of fundamental functional importance: the anti-codon, which is responsible for specific mRNA codon recognition, and the 3' end, to which the tRNAs corresponding amino acid is attached (by aminoacyl-tRNA synthetases). tRNAs cope with the degeneracy of the genetic code in two manners: having more than one tRNA (with a specific anti-codon) for a particular amino acid; and 'wobble' base-pairing, i.e. permitting non-standard base-pairing at the 3rd anti-codon position. The record is from Rfam by way of RNAcentral. Lineage: Eukaryota; Fungi; Basidiomycota; Dacrymycetes; Dacrymycetales; Dacrymycetaceae.